Molecule: small nuclear RNA, 154 nt
Filed under: Echinops telfairi (small Madagascar hedgehog)
Lineage: Eukaryota; Metazoa; Chordata; Mammalia; Afrosoricida; Tenrecidae
Description: U1 spliceosomal RNA (ENSETEG00000022064.1)
Rfam family: U1 spliceosomal RNA
About the family: U1 is a small nuclear RNA (snRNA) component of the spliceosome (involved in pre-mRNA splicing). Its 5' end forms complementary base pairs with the 5' splice junction, thus defining the 5' donor site of an intron.
Source: RNAcentral
AUACUUACCUGGCAGGGGACAUCAUGAAGGUGGUUUUCCCAGGGCGAGGCUCACGCGUUGCACUCCGGAUGUGCUGACCCCUGCGAUUUCCCCCAGGGUGGGAAACUCGACUGCAUAAUUUGUGGUAGUGAGGACUGCGUUCACGAUCUCCCCU